CUGCGCGCCAGCUAGGAUAGUCUCAGCAUUUCGUUGGAGGGUGUUGGGAAGCCCCGUGAAAAUCGGGCGCGGACCCGCCGCUGUAAUCCUCGUGCACGGCUCUCGCUGAAGGCCACUGUCCCCCCUUCUUGCUUUCGCAAGAAAGCAGGGGGGAUGGGAAGGCGCGAGAGUGAGGAAAGUCAGAAGACCGACCCCCCAACGUCUCCUCAA
This 210-nucleotide non-coding RNA is filed under the name Candidatus Omnitrophota bacterium. Lineage: Bacteria; Pseudomonadati; Candidatus Omnitrophota. The record is from RNAcentral.